Molecule: ribosomal RNA, 193 nt
Filed under: uncultured Glomus
Lineage: Eukaryota; Fungi; Glomeromycota; Glomeromycetes; Glomerales; Glomeraceae
Description: partial 18S ribosomal RNA
Rfam family: Eukaryotic small subunit ribosomal RNA
Source: RNAcentral
AGCAGCCGCGGUAAUUCCAGCUCCAAUAGCGUAUAUUAAGUUGUUGCAGUUAAAAAGCUCGUAGUUGAAUUUCGGGAUCAAUUUAUUGGUCGUGCUAUUGUACGUACUGGUAUGAUUGGUUUCUCCUUUCUGACGAACCAUGAUGUCAUUAAUUUGGUGUUAUGGGAAGUUAGGACUGUUACUUUGAAAAAAU